RNAcentral lists this ribosomal RNA (186 nucleotides) under Desulforudis sp. Its description in RNAcentral is "partial 16S ribosomal RNA". It matches the Rfam family "Bacterial small subunit ribosomal RNA", at positions 1 to 177 of the family's 1533-position model. The record is from RNAcentral. Lineage: Bacteria; Bacillati; Bacillota; Clostridia; Thermoanaerobacterales; Desulforudaceae.
UUGAUGGAGAGUUUGAUCCUGGCUCAGGACGAACGCUGGCGGCAUGCCUAAUACAUGCAAGUCGAACGGUUCUUAAGUUUAACUUCGGUUAAACUCAGGGAUAGUGGCGGACGGGUGAGUAACGCGUGGGCAACCUGCCCCAAAGACUGGGAUAACACUUCGAAAGGGGUGCUAAUACCGGAUGUG